UGGGGAAUUUUGGACAAUGGGCGAAAGCCUGAUCCAGCCAUGCCGCGUGCAGGAUGAAGGCCUUCGGGUUGUAAACUGCUUUUGUACGGAACGAAAAGACUCUGGUUAAUACCUGGGGUCCAUGACGGUACCGUAAGAAUAAGCACCGGCUAACUACGUGCCAGCAGCCGCGGUAAUACGUAGGGUGCAAGCGUUAAUCGGAAUUACUGGGCGUAAAGCGUGCGCAGGCGGUUAUAUAAGACAGAUGUGAAAUCCCCGGGCUCAACCUGGGAACUGCAUUUUGUGACUGUAUAGCUAGAGUACGGCAGAGGGGGAUGGAAUUCCGCGUGUAGCAGUGAAAUGCGUAGAUAUGCGGAGGAACACCGAUGGCGAAGGCAAUCCCCUGGCCUGUACUGACGCUCAUGCACGAAAGCGUGGGGAGCAAAC
This 426-nucleotide ribosomal RNA is filed under the name uncultured bacterium. RNAcentral's name for it is "partial 16S ribosomal RNA". It matches the Rfam family "Bacterial small subunit ribosomal RNA", at positions 355 to 773 of the family's 1533-position model. The record is from RNAcentral.